Molecule: long non-coding RNA, 1519 nt
Filed under: Numida meleagris (helmeted guineafowl)
Lineage: Eukaryota; Metazoa; Chordata; Aves; Galliformes; Numididae
Description: lncRNA (ENSNMEG00000022164.1)
Source: RNAcentral
UUUUGCUACUCUUUGCAAGUAUUUGAACAUCUUUGGAAUACGAGUAGUUAGUGUUUUCUACACAGAGUAACUACCUUUGAAUUUAACGUACAUCCCUCAGUUCCAGGGUGAGGAAUCAUACAGUGCACAAAGACACCUUGCUCAUCAGCAGUACUAUAUAAGACAUACCUAGCUGUUUUUUUUUUCCCCCUCAGUGAUAAUUACAGGCAGAAUGUGUAUUUUUACAGUAUACCAGGUACAAUGUAUCAUAGAACUGAACCCACAAAACAGUUUUGUUCAGGAUUUUAGUCUGUAAGCAAGUUUACUUUAUUUUACCUUAGAGCCUGUAGAGCUGCCUCAGAAAGAGUCUUAUUACUGUUCAUUUUUGUGACCUGAUGGCUCAUGUAAGAGCAGCAGAGAACAAAAGGAGGGGGGCUCUGCAUAAAGGGAAAACACACCACUAUCAGGGCAGGGGCCAGCUCCCUUCCCUGAGAGGACAUCAGGUAAGCACAGCAGAUCCCUUCCAAUCCACACACAGUACCUGGUGAAACAGCCUGGGGCAGGUGCCAGCAUCAGCCAGGAGGCUCAGCAACCAGGAAGCCUACAGCAAAGAGACAGAGCUGAGACCACACCACUGCUUCUCUAGAGUAGGGAGAAAAAGCCUCCAGGCUGAGCUUAAAUGGAGCUCUGGGCCCUUGGGCAGGCUGCAGGUGGGGCUGGUCAGGGCUGUUAAGUCUCCUCAGUGCCCUUAGCAGUCUGGCAGCCAGACACAUGAAAAGAGAGCAUCAAGGGCAGGGAGAGCAGGCUGCCACAGGGGGACUGACAGUGACUGCCAGACAGGCAGGUUCCAUGUCCCUCAGAGGAGAGCCACGUGUAGCCAAGCUCAGCCAAGGCUCCGGAUGGCCAGGAAAGUCUGUGCAAAGAGGGGACAAGUGGCUAAACUACAUGAAGGAAAGUUCCUCAGCCCAGACAAGAAAUAGCAGGGAACAAACAACUUCUUCAGGGCCCUUGGCUCUCUUCAAAGCUCCAACUCUCCUUCACUCCUGGAGCCCUCCCAAAGGCACUGGCCCAGACCCUGACAAUGUUCAGCCCGGUCUUUUGUUCAAGAAGGAACAUCUGUGCCUGCCUUUGAAUAAAAGAUGGUGGCAUGCGAGUUGCCCCUUGACUGGAAGAAUCCUUGUCUUGGUGAAGAAGGCACGUAACCAAACGGCAAACAAGCCUGGGACGGUCCUUCGGCGCCGUCCGAGCACGGGCGCUCCUUCCCGUUACCGGGCUCGCUGCAUUGCUGCAUGCCCAGGAGGGGCUGACGAGGAGCAGCCCCCUGCCAUCCCCCCGCUGCCCCGGUCGGGCUGGCGCGGGCGGGCCGUGCCCAAACGACCCGCGCGUUUUCUACGGGCUCCGAGCGAGGGCAGCGGCUGCCUUCGGGCGUGGAAGCCUCUCUGCCGUCGGGCGCCGACCUGUUGCUGACUGUGGCCGCUCCCCGCGGGUCGCACCACCGGGACCCCGCGUCCCGGAGCACCGCGGUGCGCGCCGAGCCGCG